GACCUCGGAUCAGGUAGGGAUACCCGCUGAACUUAAGCAUAUCAAUAAGCGGAGGAAAAGAAACCAACAGGGAUUACCUCAGUAACGGCGAGUGAAGCGGUAACAGCUCAAAUUUGAAAUCUGGGUCUUUCAGGCUCCGAGUUGUAAUUUGUAGAAGAUGCUUCGGGUGUGGCUCCGGUCUAAGUUCCUUGGAACAGGACGUCAUAGAGGGUGAGAAUCCCGUAUGUGACUGGUUGCCUUCGCCCAUGUGAAGCUCUUUCGACGAGUCGAGUUGUUUGGGAAUGCAGCUCAAAAUGGGUGGUAAAUUUCAUCUAAAGCUAAAUAUUGGCCAGAGACCGAUAGCGCACAAGUAGAGUGAUCGAAAGAUGAAAAGCACUUUGGAAAGAGAGUUAAACAGUACGUGAAAUUGUUGAAAGGGAAGCGC
RNAcentral lists this ribosomal RNA (424 nucleotides) under uncultured fungus. RNAcentral describes it as "eukaryotic LSU rRNA". It matches the Rfam family "Eukaryotic large subunit ribosomal RNA", at positions 1 to 422 of the family's 3401-position model. The record is from RNAcentral. Lineage: Eukaryota; Fungi.